Molecule: long non-coding RNA, 199 nt
Filed under: Solanum tuberosum (potato)
Lineage: Eukaryota; Viridiplantae; Streptophyta; Magnoliopsida; Solanales; Solanaceae
Description: long non-coding RNA (STUB_LNC009921)
Source: RNAcentral
AACAUAUUGUAUUUAGUAUGACAAAAGAACUCAAAAAUUGGAGAAAUUAGAUAAAUAGUAAUCUUAACUUCUAAGAAAUGUCACAUCAUCAUUUACAUAUCCAACUUUAUAUAUAUAAAAGAGUUAAAAAAGAAAAAAUAAGUGAUUAAACAAAAUUAUAUAAAUAACAUUAAUGAUGAGAUGAAGAUUAAGAAAAAAC